AAAUAAAGAAUAAGAAAAAUCAAAAGGCACAUACCAGCCCCUUAGCACAGAAGAGCAACCAGGUCCAGAAUCAUAAUAAUAUUCAUGGCGGUGGGGGUAUGUAGGUGGAGGGAUGAAGUAACCUUGAUAACCGUGAGGAGGUGGAGGAUGCUGAUGGCGAUGUGCUGGUGGUGGCGGUGGGAGACCAAUAGGCGGAUGCCCCGGGCCCGGUGGAUGUGGUGAUCGAUGCCCUAGAAAGUAUAAACAUAUAGUCUGCAACUUAUUAACCAUAAAAAUCCCAAUUAAGAUAACUUAGUAAUACAUGUUAUUACUUGCCUGGAGGUGGAGGUGGAUGAUGAUGAUGAGGUGGAGGUGGAUGAUGAUGGUGGUGAUGAUGCCCACUCAUGGAUUUUCAGAUUCCAGUCAGUUGAAUUGAACUGAAUCCUAGCAAUAGAAAACAAAGGUGUGAAGACGAUGAGGAAGUGGCGGUCAGCGGUCUUCUCCUCCGAGUCCUAAAUCCUGAUAUUCUUUCG
RNAcentral lists this long non-coding RNA (512 nucleotides) under Lactuca sativa (garden lettuce). RNAcentral describes it as "long non-coding RNA (LSAT_LNC008833)". Lineage: Eukaryota; Viridiplantae; Streptophyta; Magnoliopsida; Asterales; Asteraceae. The record is from RNAcentral.